GAUGAAGACGUAGCGAAAUGCGAUAAGUAAUGUGAAUUGCAGAAUUCAGUGAAUCAUCGAAUCUUUGAACGCACAUUGCGCCCGCCAGUAUUCUGGCGGGCAUGCCUGUUCGAGCGUCAUUUCAACCAUCAAGCCCCCCGGCUUGUGUUGGGGACCUGCGGCUGCCGCAGGCCCUGAAAAGCAGUGGCGGGCUCGCUGUCACACCGAGCGUAGUAGAUCUCAUCUCGCUCAGGGCGUGCUGCGGGUUCCGGCCGUUAAACCACCUUCAUAACCCAAGGUUGACCUCGGAUCAGGUAGGAAGACCCGCUGAACUUAAGCAUAUCAAUAAGCGGAGGA
This 336-nucleotide unclassified non-coding RNA is filed under the name soil metagenome. RNAcentral's name for it is "partial contains 5.8S ribosomal RNA, internal transcribed spacer 2, and large subunit ribosomal RNA". The stretch from base 1 to 119 matches the Rfam family "5.8S ribosomal RNA", at positions 35 to 154 of the family's 154-position model. The record is from RNAcentral.